This 717-nucleotide ribosomal RNA is filed under the name uncultured beta proteobacterium. RNAcentral describes it as "bacterial SSU rRNA". It matches the Rfam family "Bacterial small subunit ribosomal RNA", at positions 63 to 776 of the family's 1533-position model. Lineage: Bacteria; Pseudomonadati; Pseudomonadota; Betaproteobacteria. The record is from RNAcentral.
CGAACGGUAACAGGUCUUCGGAUGCUGACGAGUGGCGAACGGGUGAGUAAUACAUCGGAACGUGCCCGAGAGUGGGGGGAUAACGAAGCGAAAGCUUUGCUAAUACCGCAUACGAUCUCAGGAUGAAAGCAGGGGACCGCAAGGCCUUGCGCUCACGGAGCGGCCGAUGGCAGAUUAGGUAGUUGGUGGGAUAAAAGCUUACCAAGCCGACGAUCUGUAGCUGGUCUGAGAGGACGACCAGCCACACUGGGACUGAGACACGGCCCAGACUCCUACGGGAGGCAGCAGUGGGGAAUUUUGGACAAUGGGCGCAAGCCUGAUCCAGCCAUGCCGCGUGCAGGAUGAGGGCCUUCGGGUUGUAAACUGCUUUUGUACGGAACGAAAAGACUCUGGUUAAUACCUGGGGUCCAUGACGGUGCCGUAAGAAUAAGCACCGGCUAACUACGUGCCAGCAGCCGCGGUAAUACGUAGGGUGCGAGCGUUAAUCGGAAUUACUGGGCGUAAAGCGUGCGCAGGCGGUUAUGUAAGACAGAUGUGAAAUCCCCGGGCUCAACCUGGGAACUGCAUUUGUGACUGCAUAGCUAGAGUACGGCAGAGGGGGAUGGAAUUCCGCGUGUAGCAGUGAAAUGCGUAGAUAUGCGGAGGAACACCGAUGGCGAAGGCAAUCCCCUGGGCCUGUACUGACGCUCAUGCACGAAAGCGUGGGGAGCAAACAGG